Long non-coding RNA from Astyanax mexicanus (Mexican tetra), 2434 nucleotides. RefSeq lists it as uncharacterized. NCBI's taxonomy places the organism in Eukaryota, Metazoa, Chordata, Actinopteri, Characiformes, Acestrorhamphidae. The record is from RefSeq and is a predicted model, not a curated record. The transcript has 3 exons.
GCAAUUGGCUGACUAAAAAGGAUCCCGCCCACUGAACUGGCAGGCAGCAGUUCAGCACAGGCUGUGAUACAGCAGCCAGACGGAGAAGCAGGGAGAAGGAGUCCUGGAAGAAUGUAAUUAGCUGCAGAAUAAGUCGUUUUGUGGAAACAUUGUCUGUCCUUUGCUGUCUAUCCUAACAGCAGCAAAGCAUCAUUUAACGUCUUCAUUUGACGCAGUACCAGUCAAAAGCUUGAGCAGACUGUCCUGCAGGUUAACUAGCAUGUUAACCUAUUAAGCUUCUGUUACUUGUUAUUAUAACAGAUGAAGGUUUAGUGUACGUUUUUCUACACUACUGUGCAAAAAUCAGAAACUAUACUAAAAGCUAUAAAAAUGAAAACCAAACAGCAUUCUAAGGAAUUCAGAGAUAAGGUUAUAGACAUGCACAAGGAAGGACAUGGCUACAAAAAAAUAGCCAAGUGUUUGGAUAUUGCAGUGAGCACUGUCGGAUCAAUAGUUCGGAAGUGGAAGCUCUACCGUACCACCGAGUCACUGCCUAGACAAGGCCGGCCUUCAAAACUGAGCAUCAUAGUAAGAAGCGGACUUCAGAAGCAAGCCAAAAGGAAGCCAACAAUCACUUUGAAGGAGCUGCAGAGUAAAGUGGCGAAGACUGGAGUGAUAGUGCACAGGUCAACAAUAUCAAGAGCUCUGCACACAACUAUUCUGUAUGGGAGGCUUGCCGUAAGGAAACCACAGGAGAAACAAGAAAAUCAGAGCACUGAAGUUUCUGAAGUUUGCCAGGAAGCAUCAGAGCAACCCACUCAAACAGAUUUGGAGAAAUUUGGUUUGGACUGAGCUAAUUUUCACUUUCACUUGUUUUUAAGAGGAUUCCCACACUGAUAUAUUUUGCCUCUUUGUGGUCCUCCUAUAAUGCUUUACAUGUUCAUGGAGUAAGAGAACCCUAGGGUUGCCAGAUAUGUUACUUGGAUGCACCUAAAAAAUGCAAUGUAAGAGCUCACCCAGAGCCCAUUCCUACACCUUCUUCUAUUCAUGGCUCACCCAGGGGCUAAACACGGUUUUCAUUGGUAGUCCAUUAUCUCACAGAUGUCCUUGGAAUUCCAGCUGGUUCUGAGCUCAAGCUUCUGACUCGGCGUAAACACAAACUCUGCAACAUCUGGCACAAUUUAAACACGACAGAGGAAGUGGGGCGACUGGGAGUGGAGUGAGCUUACCACUGAACAUAGCAAGUAAUCAGAUUACAGUCCUAAAAAGACAAUUUCCACUUUUAUGUUUGGAAAUGGGGAUAUCGCAAUAUAGGAUUUCACGUCAUACAUAAAAUGACGCAAAAUGUUUUGAUUUGUACUGUAUUUGUGUGUUUUAUGAAUAUGUAAUCCAUCCAACUUGCUGUACUGCAUCUAGUUAUGUGUUAUGUUUAGAAAUGAGGAUUAUUAUAUGAUUGAUUUGGGCCGAAGGAUGUAUGACAAAGCAGCAGUUCUCAGGAUCAGUUUUCUGGACAGGGAUUAAGCCUAGUCCUAAAAUUUCCUUUUAAUGUAAAAUCUCCAUUCAAAGAGCAUUGUAGUGCAAGACUAGGCUUAAUACCUCUCUGAGAAACUGCCCCUAUAUGUAUUAUUUGAUUAUUAACCCUAAUGGAGACGUUGCAUUAUUUGGUAAUCCAUAGGUUCAGUAUAUCUUGUGCAGUCCCACAGGGUUCUAUUUUGGGAAGCAUUAAACUGAUGCUAAUUUUUGUCAUGUUAGUAGUAUCAUUAUGAAGUAAGUGCCUAAAGGGUUUAAGGGAUUAAGCCCAAUGUAGAGAGUUAUGCAGUAAGAAUGCCCCUCAGAUCUUUUUCCUAUUGCACAGACUUUAUUUAAAUUUUGUAAUCUGGUUAAACAUACAAAUUCUGCUUUGUUGUAUACACCCAUUGACAUUUUAUCAACAUUCCUUAAGCUAUCUCCUAGGAAAGGUCUCUUGAGAUGUGUGAAUUCAAACUGCAGGACAUCCCUCUGGACCACUGGCCAAUGAGACAUCUUGAAUUGGCACUUCCAAUUCAUAAAACCUUUAGGUGUCAACUUCUGAUUAAAAAAUAUAUGAUUCCAGUGUCUGACUGAUACUCUGGACUGGUUGUUAUAAGUAAGGCCUGGUGGGGCACACGUCAGUGAAUUGUUCUUUAGUUUCCAUGAGACAUAGCAAAAGUCAUGGCCUACGUACUAGUUCCUGCCCCAUGACCCAUGUGGCAUGUCACUGUAUUGAUCCAAGUGUCAGCAAGUGUAAUCUUUUCUGAUUGAUAUUUCUCUGUUGAAGUUAUGUUUUAUGUUUUAUUUGUAAGGUUUUUUUAUUCUGUAUUUGAUCUGUUUUUUGUUUUUUAUUUGCUUUCAUUAUUCUGAAGUGUUUGAUGUAAAGACUGUUAGGCCUACAUUAAAUGCAUUAAAUCUGAGCGUUAACAUUUCCCACACAAGACAA